UCCCCGUUAUCCGGGGCGGUUUCACUAGAGUGCCCAGCUUGACCUGAUGGCAACUAGGGAUAAGGGUUGCGCUCGUUGCGGGACUUAACCCAACAUCUCACGACACGAGCUGACGACAGCCAUGCAGCACCUGUGCAGGAUCUCCGAAGAGGGGCUCUCGUUUCUGAGAGCUUGCUCCUGCAUGUCAAGGCCAGGUAAGGUUCUGCGCGUUGCAUCGAAUUAAACCACAUACUCCACCGCUUGUGCGGGCCCCCGUCAAUUCCUUUGAGUUUCAGCCUUGCGGCCGUACUCCCCAGGCGGGGCACUUAAUGCGUUAGCGCCGGCACUCGGAGGGUCGCUCCCCCAAGCACCUAGUGCCCAUCGUUUACGGCGUGGACUAC
Molecule: unclassified non-coding RNA, 380 nt
Filed under: uncultured bacterium
Lineage: Bacteria
Description: contains 16S-23S intergenic spacer region
Source: RNAcentral